CGGUUGAAGUCAGUCAUGCUAGUGAAAAAUCAGUUUGACGGGUUUUGAGUUCAGGAGUAGAGGCAGGGUCAAACCGUUUCUCUUUUGGACUUGGGAUUUGUUAGAUGUACUUUUUCUUUGGCAGGUCAGCGUCGAUUUCGGAGGUUGUAAAAUACUUGGGGGAAAGUAACUCUGCUUCGGGAGAGUAUUAUAGACCCUGGGGGAUGCAGCCUGCGGGAUCGAGGAUUGCAGCAAAUGCCUUUGGCUUGUCGCCUGAUCUCUGGAUGUUACCUCGCUUGUGACAACAUUCUUGCCACCUGUGGGUACUAAUGCCCAUUAGGUUAGAGCGAUCAAAAAUUUCGCUAAGGAUGUUGACGUAA
This 359-nucleotide ribosomal RNA is filed under the name uncultured fungus. RNAcentral describes it as "eukaryotic LSU rRNA". The record is from RNAcentral. Lineage: Eukaryota; Fungi.